This is a long non-coding RNA of Cyclopterus lumpus (lumpfish), 579 nucleotides long. RefSeq lists it as uncharacterized. The transcript is spliced from 4 exons. Lineage: Eukaryota; Metazoa; Chordata; Actinopteri; Perciformes; Cyclopteridae. The record is from RefSeq and is a predicted model, not a curated record.
AGGAUUGUGGGUACAGCGUGGGGCGUAAAGGGGUUACCGGAGGGAACCGUGAGGGUGGAGGCUCCCGUCCCGGUUCGUGGGCGCAGACGUCUCCGUAGUUGGCAUCCCGGACCCGGUCACGUGGUGGAUCCGGUGCACAGUGAAAGGGAAGUGAAGCAGACGAUGGAUUGCGUGGAGACGAGGCUCGGAGAGAAAGCAGCUCGCCGUCACAAUGGACGCCAUUGUGUUCACGUCUUUGAUAAAUAUGGUUCCACCGAGAGCCGAAGAGCCUCGACGGAGGAGCGGCGUUCGGCUGGAAUGAAGAAACGGGGCAUCAGGAUCACGUGAGACCUCCAGAGCUUUACAGAUGAACCUAUCCCACGACGUGAAGGUCGUCCUCAGACCCUCCGAUGCUUUUUGUGAAAGUGCAUUACGGAAAACCUCGACACACACCUCGCCGGCCGGAUGCUUCACGGACGCCAGAUUCCAGGCUGCUUCGAACGUCUCUUCAGGAACAUUGUCACACACAUUACUGAAAAUCUCUGCAAUCUGUGAAGGGAUAGAUGACAACGUUAAUAAAAGAAAAACUAAACUAUUCAA